GACGAACGCUGGCGGCGUGCUUAACACAUGCAAGUCGAACGGAAAGGCCCUGCUUUUGUGGGGUGCUCGAGUGGCGAACGGGUGAGUAACACGUGAGUAACCUGCCCUUGACUUUGGGAUAACUUCAGGAAACUGGGGCUAAUACCGGAUAGGAGCUCCUGCUGCAUGGGGGGGGUUGGAAAGUUUCGGCGGUUGGGGAUGGACUCGCGGCUUAUCAGCUUGUUGGUGGGGUAGUGGCUUACCAAGGCUUUGACGGGUAGCCGGCCUGAGAGGGUGACCGGCCACAUUGGGACUGGGAUACGGCCCAGACUCCUACGGGAGGCAGCAGUGAGGGAUAUUGCACGAUGGGCGGAAGCCUGAUGCAGCAACGCCGCGUGCGGGAUGACUGCCUUCGGGUUGUAAACCGCUUUCGCCUGUGACGAAGCGUGAGUGACGGUAAUGGGUAAAGAAGCACCGGCUAACUACGUG
This 468-nucleotide ribosomal RNA is filed under the name uncultured bacterium. Its description in RNAcentral is "partial 16S ribosomal RNA". It matches the Rfam family "Bacterial small subunit ribosomal RNA", at positions 28 to 507 of the family's 1533-position model. The record is from RNAcentral.